Molecule: long non-coding RNA, 205 nt
Organism: Mauremys reevesii (Reeves's turtle)
Lineage: Eukaryota; Metazoa; Chordata; Testudines; Geoemydidae
Exons: 3
Source: RefSeq, a predicted model, not a curated record
AGGGUAAGAGGCGCUGAGGGAAGUCAUGUGAUCUGGGUCAUCUGAGUCAGUCAGCAGAGAAAGCCAGUCUGGAAAGAACCUUUUUAAAGCAAUGGGUAGGGGGUGGACCAGUGUUAUGAUCACUUACUGACACUGCCAACAGCCACUUCACUUUACCUAUAUCAAAAUUAGUCAUGUCCACAGCAUCAGGAAAAUCAAAGCCGAG